GCGCCGUGCGGAACCGAUGAGCACGGCAUCGACGGGUUCAUAAUCCGCGGGUUCGGGGUUCGAGUCCCUGGCGGCGCACCA
This 81-nucleotide transfer RNA is filed under the name Micromonospora sp. WMMA1998. RNAcentral describes it as "tRNA-Met". Lineage: Bacteria; Bacillati; Actinomycetota; Actinomycetes; Micromonosporales; Micromonosporaceae. The record is from RNAcentral.